UACGAAGGGGGCUAGCGUUGCUCGGAAUUACUGGGCGUAAAGCGCACGUAGGCGGUUUCUUAAGUCGGUGGUGAAAUCCUGGAGCUCAACUCCAGAACUGCCUUCGAUACUGGGAAACUUGAGUCCGGGAGAGGUGAGUGGAACUGCGAGUGUAGAGGUGAAAUUCGUAGAUAUUCGCAAGAACACCAGUGGCGAAGGCGGCUCACUGGCCCGGUACUGACGCUGAGGUGCGAAAGCGUGGGGAGCAAACAGG
This 253-nucleotide ribosomal RNA is filed under the name uncultured bacterium. Its description in RNAcentral is "partial 16S ribosomal RNA". It matches the Rfam family "Bacterial small subunit ribosomal RNA", at positions 524 to 776 of the family's 1533-position model. The record is from RNAcentral.